UACGAAGGGGGCAAGCGUUGCUCGGAAUCACUGGGCGUAAAGGGCGCGUAGGCGGGAUGGCAAGUCAGUCGUGAAAUCUCUCGGCUCAACCGAGAAACGUCGGCUGAUACUGCCGUUCUUGAGGGAUGCAGAGGAGACUGGAAUUCCCGGUGUAGCGGUGAAAUGUGUAGAGAUCCGGAGGAACACCAAAGGCGAAGGCAGUGUCCUGGGGAGUACCUGACGCUCAGGUGCGAAAGCCAGGGGAGCGAACGGG
This 253-nucleotide ribosomal RNA is filed under the name uncultured bacterium. RNAcentral's name for it is "partial 16S ribosomal RNA". It matches the Rfam family "Bacterial small subunit ribosomal RNA", at positions 524 to 776 of the family's 1533-position model. The record is from RNAcentral.